This 1131-nucleotide ribosomal RNA is filed under the name Bacillus altitudinis. RNAcentral's name for it is "bacterial SSU rRNA". It matches the Rfam family "Bacterial small subunit ribosomal RNA", at positions 49 to 1165 of the family's 1533-position model. The record is from RNAcentral. Lineage: Bacteria; Bacillati; Bacillota; Bacilli; Caryophanales; Bacillaceae.
CUAUACAUGCAGUCGAGCGGACAGAAGGGAGCUUGCUCCCGGAUGUUAGCGGCGGACGGGUGAGUAACACGUGGGUAACCUGCCUGUAAGACUGGGAUAACUCCGGGAAACCGGAGCUAAUACCGGAUAGUUCCUUGAACCGCAUGGUUCAAGGAUGAAAGACGGUUUCGGCUGUCACUUACAGAUGGACCCGCGGCGCAUUAGCUAGUUGGUGAGGUAACGGCUCACCAAGGCGACGAUGCGUAGCCGACCUGAGAGGGUGAUCGGCCACACUGGGACUGAGACACGGCCCAGACUCCUACGGGAGGCAGCAGUAGGGAAUCUUCCGCAAUGGACGAAAGUCUGACGGAGCAACGCCGCGUGAGUGAUGAAGGUUUUCGGAUCGUAAAGCUCUGUUGUUAGGGAAGAACAAGUGCAAGAGUAACUGCUUGCACCUUGACGGUACCUAACCAGAAAGCCACGGCUAACUACGUGCCAGCAGCCGCGGUAAUACGUAGGUGGCAAGCGUUGUCCGGAAUUAUUGGGCGUAAAGGGCUCGCAGGCGGUUUCUUAAGUCUGAUGUGAAAGCCCCCGGCUCAACCGGGGAGGGUCAUUGGAAACUGGGAAACUUGAGUGCAGAAGAGGAGAGUGGAAUUCCACGUGUAGCGGUGAAAUGCGUAGAGAUGUGGAGGAACACCAGUGGCGAAGGCGACUCUCUGGUCUGUAACUGACGCUGAGGAGCGAAAGCGUGGGGAGCGAACAGGAUUAGAUACCCUGGUAGUCCACGCCGUAAACGAUGAGUGCUAAGUGUUAGGGGGUUUCCGCCCCUUAGUGCUGCAGCUAACGCAUUAAGCACUCCGCCUGGGGAGUACGGUCGCAAGACUGAAACUCAAAGGAAUUGACGGGGGCCCGCACAAGCGGUGGAGCAUGUGGUUUAAUUCGAAGCAACGCGAAGAACCUUACCAGGUCUUGACAUCCUCUGACAACCCUAGAGAUAGGGCUUUCCCUUCGGGGACAGAGUGACAGGUGGUGCAUGGUUGUCGUCAGCUCGUGUCGUGAGAUGUUGGGUUAAGUCCCGCAACGAGCGCAACCNUUGAUCUUAGUUGCCAGCAUUCAGUUGGGCACUCUAAGGUGACUGCCGGUGACAAACCG